GAUGACGGCCUUCGGGUUGUAAACCUCUUUCAGUAGGGAAGAAGCGAAAGUGACGGUACCUGCAGAAGAAGCGCCGGCUAACUACGUGCCAGCAGCCGCGGUAAUACGUAGGGCGCAAGCGUUAUCCGGAAUUAUUGGGCGUAAAGAGCUCGUAGGCGGUUUGUCGCGUCUAUCGUGAAAGUCCGAGGCUCAACCUCGGAUCUGCGGUGGGUACGGGCAGACUAGAGUGAUGUAGGGGAGACUGGAAUUCCUGGUGUAGCGGUGAAAUGCGCAGAUAUCAGGAGGAACACCGAUGGCGAAGGCAGGUCUCUGGGCAUUAACUGACGCUGAGGAGCGAAAGCAUGGGGAGCGAACAGGAUUAGAUA
This 365-nucleotide ribosomal RNA is filed under the name Arthrobacter sp. 7.30ST-VPa. RNAcentral describes it as "bacterial SSU rRNA". It matches the Rfam family "Bacterial small subunit ribosomal RNA", at positions 407 to 784 of the family's 1533-position model. Lineage: Bacteria; Bacillati; Actinomycetota; Actinomycetes; Micrococcales; Micrococcaceae. The record is from RNAcentral.